This 24-nucleotide non-coding RNA is filed under the name Arabidopsis thaliana (thale cress). The record is from RNAcentral. Lineage: Eukaryota; Viridiplantae; Streptophyta; Magnoliopsida; Brassicales; Brassicaceae.
GGAAGAGAGAAAGUGGAAAUGUGG